RNAcentral lists this unclassified non-coding RNA (260 nucleotides) under uncultured fungus. RNAcentral's name for it is "partial contains 5.8S ribosomal RNA, internal transcribed spacer 2, and large subunit ribosomal RNA". Lineage: Eukaryota; Fungi. The record is from RNAcentral.
AACGCACAUUGCGCCCUUUGGUAUUCCGAGGGGCAUGCCUGUUCGAGCGUCAUUACAAAACCUCAAGCUCUGCUUGGUCUUGGGAUUACAUCAUCUCGUUAUUUUUUGCGAGCAGAUGGUCCUUAAACCCAUCGGCAGUAUUACUAGAUCUCAAGCGUAAUAAAAUAUUCCCGUUUAGAGCUUUUAGUAGUACUCGUCUAGAAAUCAUUUAUUUCCAAAAGGUUGACCUCGGAUCAGGUAGGGAUACCCGCUGAACUUAA